Molecule: ribosomal RNA, 469 nt
Filed under: Prevotella sp. oral taxon 376
Lineage: Bacteria; Pseudomonadati; Bacteroidota; Bacteroidia; Bacteroidales; Prevotellaceae
Description: bacterial SSU rRNA
Rfam family: Bacterial small subunit ribosomal RNA
Source: RNAcentral
GAUGAACGCUAGCUACAGGCUUAACACAUGCAAGUCGAGGGGCAUCAUGUCGGUUGCUUGCAACCGAUGAUGGCGACCGGCGAAUGGGUGAGUAACGCGUAUCCAACCUGCCCCCGGCCGGGGUAUAACCCGUCAAAAGGCGGCCUAAUCCCCCAUGUAGUCCUCUGAGGUCCUCCGAUGAGGAUGAAAGGUAUUUUUCCGGCCGGUCGAUGGGGAUGCGUCCGAUUAGCUUGCUGGCGGGGUAACGGCCCACCAGGGCUUCGAUCGGUAGGGGUUCUGAGAGGAAGGUCCCCCACACUGGUACUGAGACACGGAUCAGACUCCUACGGGAGGCAGCAGUGAGGAAUAUUGGUCAAUGGGCGGAAGCCUGAACCAGCCAAGUAGCGUGCAGGAUGACGGCCCUAUGGGUUGUAAACUGCUUUUGCGCGGGGAUAAAUUGGGGAACGUGUUCCCCUUGCAGUACCGCGCG